Molecule: ribosomal RNA, 937 nt
Filed under: uncultured Pseudomonadota bacterium
Lineage: Bacteria; Pseudomonadati; Pseudomonadota
Description: bacterial SSU rRNA
Rfam family: Bacterial small subunit ribosomal RNA
Source: RNAcentral
CAAGUCGAGUGCGCGCCUGUAGCAAUACAGGUGGCGCACGGCGCACGGGUGCGUAACACGUGGAUAAUCUGCCCUCUGUUGGGGAAUAACUCGCCGAAAGGCGAGCUAAUUCCGCAUAAUAUUCCGAGAACUUCGGUUUUUGGACUGAAAGGCGUAAGUCGUCGGAGGAGGAGUCCGCGCACGAUUAGCUAGUUGGUAGGGUAAUGGCCUACCAAGGCUUUGAUCGUUAGCUGGUCUGAGAGGAUGGCCAGCCACACUGGAACUGAGACACGGUCCAGACUCCUACGGGAGGCAGCAGUGGGGAAUCUUGCACAAUGGGCGAAAGCCUGAUGCAGCGACGCCGCGUGGGGGAUGAAGCAUUUCGGUGUGUAAACCCCUUUCGAUCCGGACGAAAACCUCGCAAGAGGAUUGACGGUACGGAUAUAAGAAGCCCCGGCUAACUACGUGCCAGCAGCCGCGGUAAGACGUAGGGGGCCAGCGUUGUUCGGAAUUACUGGGUGUAAAGGGUUCGUAGGCGGUGCGGCAAGUUGGGAGUGAAAUCUCUGGGCUCAACCCAGAGGCUGCUUCCAAAACUGCUGUGCUUGAGUGUGAGAGAGGCUCGUGGAAUUGCAGGUGUAGCGGUGAAAUGCGUAGAUAUCUGCAGGAACACCCGUGGCGAAAGCGGCGAGCUGGAUCACUACUGACGCUGAGGAACGAAAGCUAGGGGAGCAAACAGGAUUAGAUACCCUGGUAGUCCUAGCCCUAAACGAUCAGGACUUGGGGUGCCACCCGUUCGGGUGUCGUCCCGGAGCUAACGCGUUAAGUCCUGCACCUGGGGAGUACGGUCGCAAGACUGAAACUCAAGGAAAUUGACGGGGGCCCGCACAAGCGGUGGAAACAUGUGGUUCAAUUCGACGCUACGCGAGGAACCUUACCUGGGCUCGAAAUGCCAGUGACA